Molecule: small RNA, 27 nt
Filed under: Bombyx mori (domestic silkworm)
Lineage: Eukaryota; Metazoa; Arthropoda; Insecta; Lepidoptera; Bombycidae
Description: ovarian small RNA-12562
Source: RNAcentral
AUGACGCGAUCGACGCGGGCGCGGGGG